CACGUAGGGUGCGAGCGUUGUUCGGAAUUACUGGGCGUAAAGGGCUCGUAGGCGGCCAACUAAGUCAGACGUGAAAUCCCUCGGCUUAACCGGGGAACUGCCUCUGAUACUGGAUGGCUUGAGAUUGGGAGAGGGAUGCGGAAUUCCAGGUGUAGCGGUGAAAUGCGUAGAUAUCUGGAGGAACACCGGUGGCGAAGGCGGCAUCCUGGACCAACACUGACGCUGAGGAGCGAAAGCCAGGGGAGCAAACGGG
RNAcentral lists this ribosomal RNA (253 nucleotides) under uncultured bacterium. RNAcentral describes it as "partial 16S ribosomal RNA". It matches the Rfam family "Bacterial small subunit ribosomal RNA", at positions 524 to 776 of the family's 1533-position model. The record is from RNAcentral.